Molecule: long non-coding RNA, 769 nt
Filed under: Mytilus galloprovincialis (Mediterranean mussel)
Lineage: Eukaryota; Metazoa; Mollusca; Bivalvia; Mytilida; Mytilidae
Source: RNAcentral
GCCGUUUCUACAAUCAAAAUAGAAAUUAUUAUUUGUAUACGUAUAUUUGUAUACGUGUUCAUGAACCAUUUUCCAAUAAAAUCCUAAAUAUUUGCAUAUUUAGUCCGACAAAAUAGAUAAUAUAUGUAUCGUCUGUUCAUGAGGAGUUGGUAUUUUUCAUUAUACGACUUGAUUAAUUUACUUAUGUUUUUUUUCGUGUUGUUCAGUGUUACUUUUUCUGUGUGUUUGUUUUUUUUGCACUAUCGUUUGUCUGAUUUUUUUUAGCCAUGACGUUGCCUGUUUAUUUUCGACUUUUGGGUUGGAAUAUCGCUUUCGUAUUUUUGCCUAUCUUUAAAUUGUAAACUAAACAAAUAUAGUUAAGUUUCAAAUACAGAGUAAUUAAAUUAGUUUAAAUGUACAUCUUCUCAUUCCAAUCACGUUUACAUAGAAGUUUUGAUUAACAAACAAAGGUAUAUUUUUACGGCUUGUGAUCAGUUAGUUAUUAAUCCAUGAAAGUGUUGAUCCGUGUGCAAACACUGUUAAAAAUGUCUCUAAUCAGUUGCGUAGGGUUCACCGCAGGUAACUUUGAUUUUGUUCUUGUUUAGAAAUAUGAUCUGGUUAACAAUUUCAGGCGAAAGACUGUUAGACUUUUUAUUUUUUGUUACAAGUUGAGCACAUGAAAACAUUCCUUCAGGAGGAAAGAACGUUGCUGAUACUACUAUAACAAAUAAUAUACUCAGGAUAAACAUAUUUAUGUUGUUAAUUGAUUUUAUUUAGUAUUACAAAGGGG